RNAcentral lists this ribosomal RNA (468 nucleotides) under uncultured bacterium. Its description in RNAcentral is "partial 16S ribosomal RNA". It matches the Rfam family "Bacterial small subunit ribosomal RNA", at positions 28 to 507 of the family's 1533-position model. The record is from RNAcentral.
GACGAACGCUGGCGGCGUGCUUAACACAUGCAAGUCGAACGGAAAGGCGCUGCUCUUGUGGGGUGCUCGAGUGGCGAACGGGGGAGUAACACGUGAGUAACCUGCCCUUGACUUUGGGAUAACUUCAGGAAACUGGGGCUAAUACCGGAGAGGAGCUCCUGCUGCAUGGGGGGGGUUGGAAAGUUUCGGCGGUGUGGGAUGGACUCGCGGCUUAUCAGCUUGUUUGUGGGGUAGUGGCUUACCAAGGCUUUGACGGAUAGCCGGCCUGAGAGGGUGACCGGCCUCCUUGGGCCUGCGAUACGGCGCAGACUCCUACGUGACGCAGCAGUCGGGAAUCUUGCGCAGUGGCCGGACGUCUGAUGCGGCAACGCUGCGUGCGGGAUGACCGCCUUCGAGUUAUAAACCGCUUUCGCAUGUGCCGAACCCUGCGUGACGGUAAUGGGUCAAGAAGCACCGGCUAACUACGUG